GAUGAACGCUGGCGGCGUGCCUAAUACAUGCAAGUCGAGCGAACAGACGAGGAGCUUGCUCCUCUGACGUUUGCGGCGGAGGGGUGAGUAACACGUGUAUAACCUCCCUAUAAGACUGGUAUAACUUCGGGAAACCGGAGCUAAUACCGUAUAAUAUAUUGAACCGCGUGGUUCAUUAGUAAAAGACGGUUUUGCUGUCACUUAUCGAUGGAUCCCGGCCGCAUUAGCUAGUUGUUAAGUUAACGGCUUACCAAGGCAACCAUGCGUAGACGACCUGAGAGGGUGAUCGGCCACACUGGAACUGGGACACGGUCCAGACUCCUACGGGAGGCAGCAGUAGGGAAUCGUACGCAAUGGGCGAAAGCCUGACGGAACAACGCCGCGUGAGUGAUGAAGGUCUUCGGAUCGUAAAACUCUGUUAUUAGGGAAGAACAAAUGUGUAAGUAACUAUGCACGUAUUGACGGUACCUAAUCAGAAAGCCACGGCUAACUACGUG
RNAcentral lists this ribosomal RNA (497 nucleotides) under uncultured bacterium. RNAcentral describes it as "partial 16S ribosomal RNA". It matches the Rfam family "Bacterial small subunit ribosomal RNA", at positions 28 to 507 of the family's 1533-position model. The record is from RNAcentral.